CCUACGGGGUGCUGCAGUAAGGGAUAUUGGUCAAUGGGGGAAACCCUGAACCAGCAACGCCGCGUGAGGGAAGACGGUUUUCGGAUUGUAAACCUCUGUCCUCUGUGAAGAUGAUGACGGUAGCAGAGGAGGAAGCUCCGGCUAACUACGUGCCAGCAGCCGCGGUAAUACGUAGGGAGCGAGCGUUGUCCGGAUUUACUGGGUGUAAAGGGUGCGUAGGCGGCUUGGCAAGUCAGUAGUGAAAUCCAUGGGCUUAACCCAUGAACUGCUAUUGAAACUGUCGAGCUUGAGUGAAGUAGAGGUAGGCGGAAUUCCCGGUGUAGCGGUGAAAUGCGUAGAGAUCGGGAGGAACACCAGUGGCGAAGGCGGCUUACUAAACUGCCACUGACAUUGAUGCUCGAAAGUGUGGGUAUCAAACAGGAUUAGAUACCCGAGUAGUC
Molecule: ribosomal RNA, 440 nt
Filed under: uncultured bacterium
Lineage: Bacteria
Description: partial 16S ribosomal RNA
Rfam family: Bacterial small subunit ribosomal RNA
Source: RNAcentral